This 377-nucleotide ribosomal RNA is filed under the name uncultured bacterium. RNAcentral's name for it is "bacterial SSU rRNA". It matches the Rfam family "Bacterial small subunit ribosomal RNA", at positions 28 to 404 of the family's 1533-position model. The record is from RNAcentral.
GACGAACGCUGGCGGCGUGCUUAACACAUGCAAGUCGAGCGGUAAGGCCCCUUCGGGGUACGACGAGCGGCGAACGGGUGAGUAACACGUGGGUGACCUGCCCUCCAGCUCUGGGAUAAGCCUGGGAAACCGGGUACUAAUACCGGAUAUGACUCCAUGACGCAUGUUGUGGGGUGGAAAGCCUUGUGCGGCUGAGGAUGGGCCCGCGGCCUAUCAGCUUGUUGGUGGGGUGAUGGCCUACCAAGGCGACGACGGGUAGCCGGCCUGAGAGGGCGACCGGCCACACUGGGACUGAGACACGGCCCAGACUCCUACGGGAGGCAGCAGUGGGGAAUCUUGCGCAAUGGGCGAAAGCCUGACGCAGCGACGCCGCGUGA